RNAcentral lists this long non-coding RNA (214 nucleotides) under Ananas comosus (pineapple). RNAcentral describes it as "long non-coding RNA (ACOM_LNC036292)". The record is from RNAcentral. Lineage: Eukaryota; Viridiplantae; Streptophyta; Magnoliopsida; Poales; Bromeliaceae.
CUCAUAUACAGUUCUAUCCCGAAGAACUCAAUUCCUUGCACACGCUCCUGACAAGGGGAAUUAGUAACUUGGUACCUUCCCUCUCGCGAGUUUUUCAUCCAUCAGUGAGAGUUCCACAACUUGAUCACGACAAUAUGCCUCUACAAUCGAUUCUCGCAAUCUUCAUCGAAAUACUCACGGUUACCCGCAACCGGUUCCACAAAUCCAUCCAAAG